GACGAACGCUGGCGGCGUGCUUAACACAUGCAAGUCGAACGGAAAGGCCCUGCUUGCAGGGUACUCGAGUGGCGAACGGGUGAGUAACACGUGGGUGAUCUGCCCUGCACUUCGGGAUAAGCCUGGGAAACUGGGUCUAAUACCGGAUAGGAGCCAUUUUUAGUGUGAUGGUUGGAAAGUUUUUUCGGUGUAGGAUGAGCUCGCGGCCUAUCAGCUUGUUGGUGGGGUAAUGGCCUACCAAGGCGGCGACGGGUAGCCGGCCUGAGAGGGUGGACGGCCACAUUGGGACUGAGAUACGGCCCAGACUCCUACGGGAGGCAGCAGUGGGGAAUAUUGCACAAUGGGCGCAAGCCUGAUGCAGCGACGCCGCGUGGGGGAGGACGGCCUUCGGGUUGUAAACUCCUUUCGCUAGGGACGAAGCUUUUUGUGACGGUACCUAGAGAAGAAGCACCGGCUAACUACGUG
Molecule: ribosomal RNA, 465 nt
Filed under: uncultured bacterium
Lineage: Bacteria
Description: partial 16S ribosomal RNA
Rfam family: Bacterial small subunit ribosomal RNA
Source: RNAcentral